UGAAGGAUUAAAAAUUAAUAAUAAGCCGCCUAGCUACCCAAAAAGAAGAGGUAGGGUCUGUGAGAACAUGAACUUUUCGCCCCUCCCUUGCUGUGCAAUGGUUCCCGGAACAUUCUUGCAUGAAAGGUUUCCUGGAACAGCCACAAUGACCCAUAGCCUCCGGCCACAAUGGUCCAAUGGCCCUGUAAAAUGUCACUACCCCUAAUCACAAUGUCACAAAGGCCUAGAUGUAUGGGCAGUUUAUGGUUUUGGAAUUCCCCUCCUCCCUCCCUCUUGAUCCCCCUGGUUUGUGGUUUUUUCCUUUAUAAGCUCUGUGAAAAUUCAGGUCGGGGUCGAACUCCUCUACUCCCUGUGUGGUGUAUGAGUCUCGACCCCAGCAUGCUGGCCUGAGCUCUCGUUUCAUCUCGCUCACAAUAAAUCUUCCUCGUGUGAUUACAGCAGGUCGGUGUCUGUGUCCUACUGGGUGCGCGUCUUUCCCGAGACUUGAGUGGGGGGCUCCCUUCGGGGGUCUUUCAUUUGGGGGCUCGUCCGGGAUCUGCGCGACCACCCAGGGGUCCUAGACCCACUUGGAGUAACUGUUACAGGUCUUCUUUACCACCGAUGAAAGACGGAAUCCUACUGGAGACCAGAAAAAAAAGGGUUCCAACACGCAUAGAAGGCCCUCACUUCUGCCUGCUCUCUUCAUACCCCUGAAGGUAGGGAGUGCUCCAGGUCUGCCCCCAGGCUCCAAGGGUGGGUCUCCUAGGGGCUGGAAAAUGCCCCACCAAUCUGGCUAAGAUAAGGAAAAGAUAUGAAGAGAAAGUUACAGAAACUUGAAGGGUUAAGCUAAGUCGCUGAGAGAGUUAUUGUAAGUUGAUGCAUGGUUCAGGGUCUGUGCAGAAAAGUGGACAGCACCUAAUAGCUGUAGAAGAAGAUGCAGAGAGACAGAAAAAGAAAGAAAGAAAGAAAGAAAGAAAGAAGGUAAAAAGAGCAGAAAGCUAGGGAAGAAAAGAGACAAAAAGAAGAGGAAGCUAGAGAGCUAAAGAGAGAUAAAAGACAAGAGAGGAACAUAUACUGGCCACAGUAGUUAGGGAACCUAAGAAGAUAGUACCUGGCAACAGAAGAGAAUUCCUGGCUAAAGAUCAGUGUGCCUAAUGCAAAGAAAAAAAAAAAGACACUGGGUCAGGGACUGCCCCAGAAAGAACAAGAGGGGACACUGGAGAGCUUCUUGGUCCUAGAGUGCUGGCUAUGUACAGAGAUAGAAGGGAAGUGUGGAUACAGGGACCCAAUGCUCUGUGCUCCUAUGCUCCAGUGGGCCAGUAUCCAAAGACCUUGGGUACAGGGGCCUACUGGCAACAAACAAUACUUAUGGACUGCCCGAAGAACAGUGGACCUUGGCGUGGGCCGGGUAACCCACUAGUUCAUAGUCAUCCCUGACUGCUCCCAUCCCUUGCUCAUGAGAAAAUUGCUCCCCAAAAUGGCUUGCGUGGGCUGAAAUGGCUGGGUGAGGCCAUGUGUAUGCAUAUCUACAGACUGUGUAUGCGGAGCUUAAGACCUGUCUCAGUGCACCAGUACCUGAUGCUGGGAGAUGAAUGGCUUAGCGCUGUUCUACUUGGAACAUAUCACUCCUGCCAGCCGGGCACUAACAAUUAUCACCCAAUCCAGGACUUAAACUGUGAUAGAGUGGCUGAUGUUCUGCCUUUGAAUAGAGUGUCCCAAAAGAUGGGACCACUGGUCAGCUGCCAUGGACUAGAUUCUCUACCAGUUGGGGACAAUCUGGUCACCUUGCUGCCCAAUCCGGACCUGGAGCCACCACAGCACGAGUGUCAAGUACUGGCAGAAGCCCAUGGGUGGAGGAAAGACCUCUGCGACUGGCUGAUUGACCCCUGCUGAAAGCCGAGGACCUUGUCCACAGACGGGAACAGUUCUCUUCAUGAAUGAAGGUCAGAGACAAGUGGGUGCUGCCAUGGUGGACAACACAAUGUCAUCUGGGAUGGCUGAACCUCUACCCCCCCCAGUACAUCAGCACUGCAGAUGCCUUUACCAUCUCUUGGAUGCCCUGGUGAAGCCAACAACUGUGAGUACUAUUCAUUGCUCAGGAUAUCAGGAGGGAAGAGAUUCAGUGACAUGGGGCAAUAACGAAGCAGAUAAAGUGGCUCGAAAAAUGGUUAUGCAGGAGCCCAUCCUGGUUGCAGGCCUGCAAGAGACAGCCACUGGGAACUGGGAUCGGACUAAGGGAUGGCCUCACUUAGAAAAGGCCCAAAUUGCUUAAAAGAUAAAGGACAAUGGCACAUUGAGGGGAAAGCUAUACUUCCCAGAGAACAAAGAAAAGACUCACUUUGCCAAAUACAGAAAUGGACUCAAUUAGGAGAUAAAAAGUUUGUCCAAGUAGUUAAGUGUAUGUAAUAGACUUUAAGAUUUUAGCCAGAGAGGCAGUAGAAAGUAUAAGGUAUGUCAAUAAGUGAAUGCUUAGCAAGCAAACAGGGCAAAGAGACCUAGAGAGUUUGGUGAAAAGUCCAAGUGAACUUCACUGAGAUAAAACCAGAAAAAUAUAAUCACAAGUAUCUCCUAGUGCUUGUAGAUACUUUUUCAGGAAUAGAUAGAAGCUUUCCUCACCAAACAAGAGACGGCCUCUGCAAUCAUCAAGAAGAUACUGGAAGAAAUCUUCCUCCGAUUUGGAAUGCCCAAGGUAAUCUGGUCAGACAACGGCCCUACUUUCGUUGCCAAGGUAAGCCAGGGUGUGGCCAAGUAUUUAGAGGUCGAUUGGAAAUUACAUUGUAUUUACAGACCUCAAAGUUCAGGACAGGUAGGGUAAAUAAAUAGAACUCUAAAAGAGACCCUGACCAAAUUAACCAUGGAGACUGGCACAGACUGGGUGACACUCCUUCCCUCUUGCUCUCUUCAGAGCAAGAAAUACCCCUUCCAGAUUCAGCCUUACCCCCUUUGAGAUCUUAUAUGGGGCCUCAGCCCCCCUGACUGUAUUAGAUGAUGUUACUGAACCAACAUGUCAUAGUGCCAUAGUAAUAAUGAUUUGUGUGCCAGGCUAAAAGACCAACAGGUGAUACAGAAAGAAAUCUGCUCACAGCUGACAGCAGCCUAUGCCCCGGAGACCCCUGAGACAUCCCAUCAGUUCCAGGUUGCAGCUACACUGAGUCCAGACACUCGAGCCUCGCUGGAAAGGACCGUACCUGGUGCUGCUGACCACCCUGACAGCUGUCAAUUCUCAGCCCUCACCAGCCGUGUACUAGCUGUUGGGCUGAGAGCUGGGACCUAGAGGGAAAUUCAGUCAUGUUUGUCCUGGGUUCUAUCAAGAUAGGUGUGGGAUAGGCUGAUUUCCAUUACAAAUGAUGUAACAUUGCAUAUGUUAGUACUCUUAACACUUCUUGGGACUGUGCCUCAGGGAUCACAGUCCGUAUAAGCUUAGAAGUUCUAAAAGCUAGUCAUGACCUUGGUGGAUAGGCUUGGAUAGUGUCCAGGUUAGAAUCCUCAUGUUAAGACUACAAUACCAAGCUGUUAUGCUAGAUGAAGCUGAGUUCUCCAUGAAGUUCUAGGAUUAGAACUAUUAACAAAAAGAAGAAGUGGGGAAUGAAGGAUUAAAAAUUAAUAAUAAGCCGCCUAGCUACCCAAAAAGAAGAGGUAGGGUCUGUGAGAACAUGAACUUUUCGCCCCUCCCUUGCUGUGCAAUGGUUCCCGGAACAUUCUUGCAUGAAAGGUUUCCUGGAACAGCCACAAUGACCCAUAGCCUCCGGCCACAAUGGUCCAAUGGCCCUGUAAAAUGUCACUACCCCUAAUCACAAUGUCACAAAGGCCUAGAUGUAUGGGCAGUUUAUGGUUUUGGAAUUCCCCUCCUCCCUCCCUCUUGAUCCCCCUGGUUUGUGGUUUUUUCCUUUAUAAGCUCUGUGAAAAUUCAGGUCGGGGUCGAACUCCUCUACUCCCUGUGUGGUGUAUGAGUCUCGACCCCAGCAUGCUGGCCUGAGCUCUCGUUUCAUCUCGCUCACAAUAAAUCUUCCUCGUGUGAUUACAGCA
This is a non-coding RNA of Rattus norvegicus (Norway rat), 4005 nucleotides long. The record is from RefSeq and is a predicted model, not a curated record. NCBI's taxonomy places the organism in Eukaryota, Metazoa, Chordata, Mammalia, Rodentia, Muridae.